GCCUUCAUGAAGCCGGAAUUGCUAGUAAUGGCAGGUCAGCAUACUGCCGUGAAUACGUUCCCGGGCCUUGUACACACCGCCCGUCACACCAUGAGAGUUGGGAAUACCCGAAGCCUGUGAGCUAACUUUUAGAGGCAGCAGUCGAAGGUAGAAUCAAUGAUUGGGGUGAAGUCGUAACAAGGUAGC
RNAcentral lists this ribosomal RNA (186 nucleotides) under uncultured bacterium. RNAcentral describes it as "partial 16S ribosomal RNA". It matches the Rfam family "Bacterial small subunit ribosomal RNA", at positions 1314 to 1500 of the family's 1533-position model. The record is from RNAcentral.